UACGGGGGGUGCAACCGUUGCUCGGAAUCAUUGGGCGUAAAGCGCACGUAGGCGGUUUGUUAAGUCGGGUGUGAAAGCCCAGGGCUCAACCCUGGAAGUGCACUCGAAACUGGCAGGCUUGAAUAUGGAAGAGGGUCGCGGAAUUCCCGGUGUAGAGGUGAAAUUCGUAGAUAUCGGGAGGAACACCAGUGGCGAAGGCGGCGACCUGGGCCAAUAUUGACGCUGAGGUGCGAAAGCGUGGGGAGCAAACAGG
This 253-nucleotide ribosomal RNA is filed under the name uncultured bacterium. RNAcentral describes it as "partial 16S ribosomal RNA". It matches the Rfam family "Bacterial small subunit ribosomal RNA", at positions 524 to 776 of the family's 1533-position model. The record is from RNAcentral.